This is a long non-coding RNA of Harpia harpyja (harpy eagle), 422 nucleotides long. RefSeq lists it as uncharacterized. The transcript has 3 exons. The record is from RefSeq and is a predicted model, not a curated record. Lineage: Eukaryota; Metazoa; Chordata; Aves; Accipitriformes; Accipitridae.
GUUGUCCGUUCGUCCCCUGGGGAUGCCGUUGACUGCAGCAGCCUCAGGCUUGCGUGGGCUGUCUCUGCCUGGCCUCCCUCUCCUCGCGGCGCGGGAGCCACAAAGGGACAGGCAGGGCACUUACCGGCUGUGGGCAGGAGCUGCUGCGGCUGAAGCUGGAGAGGCCAGAGAAAGAAACGAAGGAAACCGUCGUGGACACCAGUUUGCUGCUUGGAAACCCCCUUACCCUUCCCAUCUUGAUUUGAGUAUUGAAGAUUCCAGUCAGUAGAGCUAAGUGUAACUGACCAAUGAUUGUUUUUAAAUAAGAAUAUUGAUAAGGUUAUAUAAUCAAAGGACCAAUCCUUAGAAAGGUUAAAUUUAAGAACGAGCAUAGUAUGCCUUUUUAUGGAAAGAGCUUAUGUAACAAUGACCCAACAGAAAAA